RNAcentral lists this ribosomal RNA (770 nucleotides) under Bacillus sonorensis. Its description in RNAcentral is "bacterial SSU rRNA". It matches the Rfam family "Bacterial small subunit ribosomal RNA", at positions 141 to 899 of the family's 1533-position model. Lineage: Bacteria; Bacillati; Bacillota; Bacilli; Caryophanales; Bacillaceae. The record is from RNAcentral.
GGAUAACUCCGGGAAACCGGGGCUAAUACCGGAUGCUUGAUUGAACCGCAUGGUUCAAUUAUAAAAGGUGGCUUUUAGCUACCACUUACAGAUGGACCCGCGGCGCAUUAGCUAGUUGGUGAGGUAACGGCUCACCAAGGCGACGAUGCGUAGCCGACCUGAGAGGGUGAUCGGCCACACUGGGACUGAGACACGGCCCAGACUCCUACGGGAGGCAGCAGUAGGGAAUCUUCCGCAAUGGACGAAAGUCUGACGGAGCAACGCCGCGUGAGUGAUGAAGGUUUUCGGAUCGUAAAACUCUGUUGUUAGGGAAGAACAAGUACCGUUCGAACAGGGCGGUACCUUGACGGUACCUAACCAGAAAGCCACGGCUAACUACGUGCCAGCAGCCGCGGUAAUACGUAGGUGGCAAGCGUUGUCCGGAAUUAUUGGGCGUAAAGCGCGCGCAGGCGGUUUCUUAAGUCUGAUGUGAAAGCCCCCGGCUCACCGGGGAGGGUCAUUGGAAACUGGGGAACUUGAGUGCAGAAGAGGAGAGUGGAAUUCCACGUGUAGCGGUGAAAUGCGUAGAGAUGUGGAGGAACACCAGUGGCGAAGCGACUCUCUGGUCUGUAACUGACGCUGAGGCGCGAAAGCGUGGGGAGCGAACAGGAUUAGAUACCCUGGUAGUCCACGCCGUAACGAUGAGUGCUAAGUGUUAGAGGGUUUCCGCCCUUUAGUGCUGCAGCAACGCAUUAGCACUCCGCCUGGGGAGUACGGUCGCAAGACUGAAC